GAUGAACGCUGGCGGCGUGCCUAAUACAUGCAAGUCGAGCGAACAGACGAGGAGCUUGCUCCUCUGACGUUAGCGGCGGACGGGUGAGUAACACGUGGAUAACCUACCUAUAAGACUGGGAUAACUUCGGGAAACCGGAGCUAAUACCGGAUAAUAUAUUGAACCGCAUGGUUCAAUAGUGAAAGACGGUUUUGCUGUCACUUAUAGAUGGAUCCGCGCCGCAUUAGCUAGUUGGUAAGGUAACGGCUUACCAAGGCAACGAUGCGUAGCCGACCUGAGAGGGUGAUCGGCCACACUAGAACUGAGACACGGUCCAGACUCCUACGGGAGGCAGCAGUAGGGAAUCUUCCGCAAUGGGCGAAAACCUGACAGAGCAACGCCGCGUGAGUGAUGAAGGUCUUCGGAUCGUAAAACUCUGUUAUUAGGGAAGAACAAAUGUGUAAGUAACUAUGCACGUCUUGACGGUACCUAAUCAGAAAGCCACGGCUAACUACGUG
Molecule: ribosomal RNA, 497 nt
Filed under: uncultured bacterium
Lineage: Bacteria
Description: partial 16S ribosomal RNA
Rfam family: Bacterial small subunit ribosomal RNA
Source: RNAcentral